This 118-nucleotide ribosomal RNA is filed under the name Castor canadensis (American beaver). The record is from RNAcentral. Lineage: Eukaryota; Metazoa; Chordata; Mammalia; Rodentia; Castoridae.
GUCUAUGGCCAUACCACACAGAAUGUGCCUGAUCUCAUCUGAUCUUGAAAGCUAAGCAGGAUUGGGCCUGGUUAGAACUUGGACAGAACAGAUCUUCAGAAGAGAGUGUUCAGAGACU